UACAGAGGCCCCAAGCGUUAUCCGGAAUCACUGGGCGUAAAGGGUGUGUAGGUGGUUUUGUUAGUCGCUUGUUAAAUCUCCCGGCCUAACCGGGAAAAUGCAAGCGAAACGGCAAGACUAGAGGAUGCGAGGGGUCUGUGGAACUCAUGGAGUAGGGGUGAAAUCCGUUGAUAUCAUGGGGAACACCGAAAGCGAAGGCAGCAGACUGGCGCAUUCCUGACACUGAAACACGAAAGCGUAGGUAGCGAAUGGG
RNAcentral lists this ribosomal RNA (253 nucleotides) under uncultured bacterium. RNAcentral describes it as "partial 16S ribosomal RNA". It matches the Rfam family "Bacterial small subunit ribosomal RNA", at positions 524 to 776 of the family's 1533-position model. The record is from RNAcentral.